UGUGUAGGCGGUUGUAUAAGAUAGCGGUGAAAUACCUGGGCUCAACCUAGGAACUGCCGUUGUUACUAUACAGCUAGAGUGAUAGAGAGGAUAUUGGAAUACCCAGUGUAGAGGUGAAAUUCGUAGAUAUUGGGUAGAACACCGGUGGCGAAGGCGAGUAUCUGGCUAUUAACUGACGCUGAGGCACGAAAGCAUGGGGAUCAAACA
Molecule: ribosomal RNA, 207 nt
Filed under: uncultured bacterium
Lineage: Bacteria
Description: partial 16S ribosomal RNA
Rfam family: Bacterial small subunit ribosomal RNA
Source: RNAcentral